Molecule: long non-coding RNA, 325 nt
Filed under: Hordeum vulgare
Lineage: Eukaryota; Viridiplantae; Streptophyta; Magnoliopsida; Poales; Poaceae
Description: long non-coding RNA (HVUL_LNC011156)
Source: RNAcentral
ACAAAUGUAUUUAUGUUUAAUAACAUUUUUCAUAAUUUUUCCACUUUUCAUCAACUGUAUUCAUGUUUGUAAAAAGAAAAAAACCGAAUAGGAAACCAGGUCACCAUUAAAAAACGUAAAUCUCAGUUUCAAGGAGAUAUCUAUUCAGUGCCUUAAGAGCUUAAGGGGCUCUUCGUAUAUGGUGCGGACUCCGAAAUCACUAAUUAAGGAGUACUAGUAAAUGUGCCCGUGCGUUGCAACGGGGAAAAACGCAUAACUUGCUCCACAUGCCACUAUGCGCCAUUUCUUAUAUCGAACUGACAUUGUGAAAGUGAUGUUAUUGUCA